UUCCCCUCACACAGUAGGCUCUUGAUAAACACUUGUGAAUCAGUUAACUGCUACUUGUCACAGGUGGGUAGAGGAAACCUGUGCUCGCUGCUGUGACUAUAGAAACCUGCAGUUCCAGGGCUGGCCGGUUAGCUCAGUUGGUUGGAGUGCAGCCUUGGAACAUCACCGCCAAGGCUUGGGCUCCCCGUACUGGCCAGCCACCAUCCUCGCCCCCCCCCAAAAAAAAUUUGCAGUUCCUAUUGGGGAGAGCAGUUGAUCUUGCUGAGGCCUAGUUGUUUCUACAAAAAUAUCUUUUUUAAACACAGAAUCAAAGAUGGACACUGGUGUACUGACAUGUUACAUGUCGCUACCAUGUCGUGUAUGAGGCUACUGAAGUAAGUAACAUAACUAAUGAGGUCUUCUGCUCCUGGUAAUGGUGGAUAGGUAAUUUGACCAUCCCACUGAGAGCAACUAGAAAGGCUGUACAAAAUAUUUUGAAAAUCUGUUUGAAGGCAUCAGACAGCUAACAUGACAAGAAUUACUGGACCACCAGGACCACUGAGGAGGGGUCAGAAAGCCCUGGGAGGUGGGCUUAGUGUUAUGGGCCACUGUUCUCCAUUUGCAAAACUUGGAGGCAGCCCAAAAGCUGAUUGGUGAUUUUUGACAGCCUUCCAGAAGUAGGGGAUAGGGCCUGUCAAAGGGUGGUAGACAUGGGGGUGUCCCUCACUUUGGGCUGAGGCCCUCAGUCCUUUGUACCCCAGCAAUCAAAGUGAACCAGAUGUAGGAAAUAGGAAGGCUCUUUCAGGAGAUUGCAGGUCAGCUUCCAGUUAUCUCAAUCUUUGAAAUUAGAUUAAGGUGAUCAGACUGGUAGUUUCCAUAAACCCUUGGCAUAAGCAAACAAAAACCCUCUCUAGAGGAAGAUAUCAUCAUCUUAAACCUCCAAUUAUCCUAGGAAUAAUUUUGCUAAUAUUCUUUUCUAAUAUUGAUCACAAAAAAAAUGUAACCAGGCAUAUGAAAUACGAUAAUAAGAAAACUAGCAAAACAACAGACAAUGGAAACGGGCCCAUAUUGGCUAGAGAUAUUGGUGCUAUCAAACAUAGACUAACGGGGCCGGCCCGUGGCUCACUCAGGAGAGUGCAGUGCUGAUAACACCAAGGCCACGGGUUCGGAUCCUAUAUAGAGAUGGCCAGUUGGCUCACUGGCUGAGCGUGGUGCUGACAAACAGACUAACUGCUUACUGUGUUCUAGGAAAUAUACAAUUUUAGGAAUUUCAACAGAUAACUGGACAUGUAAAAAAAAGUCUAGAAUUUUUUUUAAAAUCCAAUAACCAAAAUUAAGAAUUCAGUGGAAGGUUUUAACAGCAGGGUUACUCAAUGGUGAGAGUGCAGUGUUAAUAACACCAAGGGCAAGGGUUCUGAUCCCUCUUCCAGCCAGCUACCCCCCCCAAAAGAACCAGAAAACUGGGAGCUAGGCAUACCAAAUAGGUGUGUAAGAUCGCAAUACAAAACCUUAUAUGAUAUUACUGAGAGAAAUUAAAACAAAGUCAUGGGGCCAGAAAACUACCACCCACAGGCCGAAAUCAUUCAGCAGCACCUGAUUUAUUAAGACUCAGGAGUCUGUGAGCUAAGAAUGGUUUUUAUAUUCUUAAGUGGCUGUAUAAAUAUCUACAUAAUUUUCUCAAUUUUGCCUCAGCCACACACCACAAAGCCUAAAAUACUUAUUAUCCAGUCAUUUAAGAAAAAAGUUUGACUCCUCAUACUGUCAAGAUGUCAGCUUUCUGCAAACUGAUGUAUAAAUUCAAUAAAACCUCAAAAACCCAA
Long non-coding RNA from Galeopterus variegatus (Sunda flying lemur), 1799 nucleotides. RefSeq lists it as uncharacterized. Lineage: Eukaryota; Metazoa; Chordata; Mammalia; Dermoptera; Cynocephalidae. The transcript has 2 exons. The record is from RefSeq and is a predicted model, not a curated record.